GGGCCGUUAGCUCAACCGGCAGAGCAGGGGCCUCUUAAGCCCAAGGUUGCAGGUUCGAUUCCUGCACGGCCCA
Molecule: transfer RNA, 73 nt
Filed under: Actinomycetes bacterium
Lineage: Bacteria; Bacillati; Actinomycetota; Actinomycetes
Also listed under: 4 other names
Description: Actinobacteria bacterium tRNA-Lys
Rfam family: tRNA
About the family: Transfer RNA (tRNA) molecules are approximately 80 nucleotides in length. Their secondary structure includes four short double-helical elements and three loops (D, anti-codon, and T loops).
Source: RNAcentral